RNAcentral lists this ribosomal RNA (572 nucleotides) under Trichoderma asperellum. RNAcentral's name for it is "eukaryotic LSU rRNA". The stretch from base 198 to 351 matches the Rfam family "5.8S ribosomal RNA". Lineage: Eukaryota; Fungi; Ascomycota; Sordariomycetes; Hypocreales; Hypocreaceae. The record is from RNAcentral.
GGAGGGAUCAUUACCGAGUUUACAACUCCCAAACCCAAUGUGAACGUUACCAAACUGUUGCCUCGGCGGGGUCACGCCCCGGGUGCGUCGCAGCCCCGGAACCAGGCGCCCGCCGGAGGAACCAACCAAACUCUUUCUGUAGUCCCCUCGCGGACGUAUUUCUUUACAGCUCUGAGCAAAAAUUCAAAAUGAAUCAAAACUUUCAACAACGGAUCUCUUGGUUCUGGCAUCGAUGAAGAACGCAGCGAAAUGCGAUAAGUAAUGUGAAUUGCAGAAUUCAGUGAAUCAUCGAAUCUUUGAACGCACAUUGCGCCCGCCAGUAUUCUGGCGGGCAUGCCUGUCCGAGCGUCAUUUCAACCCUCGAACCCCUCCGGGGGAUCGGCGUUGGGGAUCGGGACCCCUCACACGGGUGCCGGCCCCUAAAUACAGUGGCGGUCUCGCCGCAGCCUCUCCUGCGCAGUAGUUUGCACAACUCGCACCGGGAGCGCGGCGCGUCCACGUCCGUAAAACACCCAACUUUCUGAAAUGUUGACCUCGGAUCAGGUAGGAAUACCCGCUGAACUUAAGCAUAU